UGUAUUUUCUCUCUCCUCUCCCCUCCCCUGGCUCUGCUAACGAGAUUCCAUCUGAGCUGUGGGCGCAGAGUGGGAGCAGGUCUGCGGGAAGUGCACCGAGGGAGUGUGGGCGUCAGCUGCCCACCUUCCCCAGGUGUUCCUGAAGAAGGGGGCUGUGGGCGUGAGGACCAGGCAGCUGGAUGUUUAUCUUUCUUUUAUGAGCUAGAUACGGUGGUUAACGCGGCAGUAUGCUCAGUGUGUAACGUGAACAGGAAGGUGCCACCCCUGUACACACUCUAUUUUUGACGUUACUGACCGUAGAACAGGCCCUUGAUUCUCUUGGGAGCAGCCUCAGCCUGAGAAAGAAGAGCUUCAGUGGUCCAGAUCAUACAUUUCCUUCCCACGUGGAAAAAGGGGUCUACGGCUGAGCCUGGGUGCUUUCUUUCCUCCCAGCUUUCUUGAAUGUGGGGUCUACGUCUUGUUCACCCUUAGAACUCACAGUGCCCGGCACGAGUUACUGCAACCAUGACGAUGACAAAGAUGCCCUAAAUCUGGAGAGACGGACCCUGUGCCAGGUUAUAUGCCACUCUACACAGACCUCCUUUGCUUACUGAAUCCUCACAGCCCUGUGAAUUAAGUCUUUUAUUACUGUCAUCCUGCAGAUCAGGAAACUGAUACCCAAAAAGGUUGGAAUGAGAUUCCCAUGAUCACGAAGACCUUGCCUGCCGUGUGCCCCUUGCCUGUCAUAGCAGGUGCUCAAUAAAUACACACUCACCUCUCAGUUUCCAAAUUCCUCUGGAGGCCACGCAACCCAGCAGACAGGGUUUGGCGGGUGCGUUCUUUGGUUCUUGCAUAAUGCAUUGGCUUCAAGCUGUUUCUCUUUCUCCAGCAAUCACGGAGGUGAAACUCAAAGUGGCUGAAACCGUGAAGCAGUUUUUACAUCACUGAAGAACCUGCAGGUAUGUGGGUUCAGGCCACUCAGGGGUACAGUGAUAUCACCAAGAGCCCUGGGUUUUUCCCUUUCACACUGUAGCUCUCAGUGUGCAGCCCUCAGUGGCGGCAAGGUGGCUGUGCAUCACAUCUUUUAAACCGUCCAAAGGCGUGUAGGAAAGGCAGGAGCUCUCUCCUGUGCAUCUCUGGUUGUCACAGUGCAAAAUCUGUCCAGAAGCCACGCACAGACUUCCGCUUAUGUUUCCCUGAUGAAAAUUGCCCUCAAUGGCCACCACGCCGACUAGGUCAUCCUUCUUAAAGAAUAGAGAAACCAGGAUGAUCAUGGUUCAUCCGCUGGACCAAAGGAAGGAUUUUGUCUCUCUGAGACAAAAUCUCUGACACCAGAGCAAAGCCAGGAUUUACCUAACAGGGAAGACAAGGAAAGUGCUGUCCACAGUCCUGCCAACCCGGAAAUGCUUACAUGACAACCUAGAGCGCGGCUGUGCUUGGGCGCCAGUUCAGGCCGCAGGAAUUGGGCUCCGCUCUAUCAGCUCUCUGUAUGCUUUUUUUUUUUUUAAAGAAAAGUUUGCCUUGCCACUCAGCAAAAAGAAAACUAUUUAAACAAUUCAUAAGCACAGAAAGUAGCUGGCUGCAGCGGGGUUUUCCCUGUAGGUGAACCCUUAGGUUUUCCAUCUCCAGAGUCCCAGGGACCAGCACACAAUCUGCCAGCCUCUUGUCUUCUGUACCGGAUGGGAUUGGUGAUGCCGCUGGUUUCUUAGCAACAUCGCACCCAGUAGUCAUAAAAAGAUGGCAAAACAGUGCACACUGGUUUUGGGCUCAUGUUCUUCCUCCUCCUGUGCCCCUUAUAUUACAGUGGGACUUUAUUACCCACGUGUUUGCAUCUGUCUCUACCUAGGCGCUGCCUGGGACAAGUACACAAGAGCCGCAGUGCUCACCGUCUUCUCCUCCUAGUCCUUAGCAAACCUGCCGUGCACACCUGAAGAUCUGUCAUUAUUUUCCCUCUGUUUGCUAUUCCAGAGCUUUUCCUUGCUGUAUGUGUUGGGAACGCUUUUCUCCAUGGUCACAAGUCACAAAAAAAUAGGAGAAAGGGUGGGGGGUGAGCCAGAUGUUAGGCUCUAUCAGCAAUACCCAGGCAAGGGUCGAUGCUCCAGAUGUGUCUGCUGAGUGACUGGAAGAAUGGUGGGAAGGGAAGAAAGUGUGGGCUUUCGAAUCGUGCUGGUUGGGUUCAAGUGCAGGGCUUGUGUUUAUCACUUACAUGGUCCAAGUUAAUUUACGUCCCUCUGCAGCCCGCAUUUCCUCGUAUGUAAAAUGGUAGCAGUGGUGUUUAUCUCACAGGUUUGGUGUAAGGACUAACAUUAGUGUAUGAGAAGCACGUAGCAGUAAUGCCUAGGACAUAGCAUAUGCCCCAUAGAUGGUACCUAAGCUGGGGUCACAACCAGAAGACCAUGUGAAGCUCAUGCCAACAGGUGAACAGAAAACCCCCAUCGCCACAGCAAACAGGGGUGCUGGGAGAAUUGUGCAGAGGCAGUGAGACUGGACCAAGGAGCAGCCACGUUCUCCCUCCUAAAGCCAGCGUGGGUGUCGGAGGCCGGUUCACAAAUGGGGAGCAGCAGAACAGGCUAUAGGAGCGAGGAGACAGCAAACUACCAAAAACACUUCAGAAAACAUACAGCUUAAGAAAAGUUAACCCACCCAAGCUCCAAAUCUGAUCUGUGCAGCAUAAAACAGAACAGGGGUACCCAGAGGAGGGAACACGGCCGUGCAAGUUCCGCCACGGAGCUAUGAACUCUUGGACGAGGCUGAGUCCCCUGCGGAAGGUGUGGAAGUUGUCACCUACCAAGGUCCCUUCCUGGCCACCCUGGCUGGGCCUGCAGCAAUGCGGGGAGCAGAGGAGAAACAGCAGAUGCCCAAGAACCAGGACAAAGAAGGUGCCCACCGGCCAAGGACGGAGGUAUUUCCCUUGGCUCUUCCUGGCAGAGGAGUUCUCCCAUUCCAUGAUGCAAAGGGCUUGGAAGUUAUGACAUAAUUUCACUCUGUUUUCCUGGUUGUCGCUGUGGACUAGUAAUAACGCAGUCAUCCUUUCAGUGAACUGCACACCCUUCAUUCAAAGCGUGGAUUCUGCCAUCUUACCUAAGCCACCUGUCGUCCUUAUGGAGCUGAGGUCAGUUGAUGCCUGGGAGCCGGGUGUGGUGGCCCAGGAGCGGUGCUCAUUCACAGAAGCUGUUCUGUCUGAGGAAGCCCACGGUGUCUUCACUCUCCUACUUCCACACCAGAGUCUCUCAGCUUUCCUCAUCUAGGGUCUAACGAAGGCAGAGGUCCCAGACUUUGCGCUCCUUUGUCACCCUGUGCAACAAAAGCCUGGAGAAGGGAGUCCUUGGUAACAGGGAGGGGAUACCCCUGGUCCACGGAGCAGGGAGGGAGGAGACUUUCUUCACCCACAAAAGCCUCGCUCUUCUCCAAGGCAGCAGGGCUUCCGGCUGCUGGCAAGAACUGUCUGAAAAGCAGCGUGGUGACCAUCCCCCAGGGGCAGGGGUGGCCUCCCUGGGAGGCCUCUGGAUCCACGGAAUGACGGGUGGGAGCCCUGCCUGACCGUGAUCCCCUAGCACCUGGGUGAGGAGCGUCCCACACCCACUGCUGAAGCCCAGGGGCGCCCCGAGCUCUCAAAAAGCAGCAAGUCGGGAGCCUGGAGAAGACACCAAGCUCAAGACGACGAACUUGCCUGACUGGGCCACCACGGGUCACACAGCCUUAUCAGGGGAGUCUCAGGGAGCCCCAGGCUGAGAGCGGGUGUUACCCCCACUGCGCAGGGCCCUGCAAGCCGAGCGCUAUCUAUUUAAGACCCUUGACUUUGGUGAGUGGUUUUGCUAGGAAACAGAGGAAAAGGAAAGGAAAACGGAGACAAGAAAAUUAGUUUGAUGGCAAAGCCAUACACAAAGAUGCGUGUUUGACACGGUGGAGAGAAAGGGGCUGAGAAUCAUUUGAGCUGAACCGUAGAGCAGCUGGAGGGGGAGGGGAGCCGUGAGGAGCAGCCACAGACCCUUUCUUCCUCCUGCUUCUUACCCCAGAGGCCCACGGUGACCCACGGUGCAGACUCGAGCAGCUCGCCGCGGCCGUGCAGCCUCCAGCCCGCAGUGUACAGAGAAGCCCAGCCUGAUGUCUCUCGGAGCUUCUCCCCGUCUUCCAUCUUGUCUUGCAAGGGGAGGACGGCAGGGGCCUCACGAGGUUGGAGACCCCAGGCAGUCAGGGGGGCAGUGCCCCACUUAGGGCUGAGGGAGAGGUGGCCUCAGCACACAGGGCGGCUGCCGCUGCUGGCACGCGCCCGCCUCGCCAUCAGAGCACCCUCCCCAGGGACUGCAGGCCCAGGGGAUCCACCAGAGGUCAUGGAAGCUUGGCACUGUGUGUGUUGGGGGCCAACCAGGGCCCCGCUCCAGCAGUAACCCUCCCCUGUGGGUUUGGUCAGUGCAGACGUUCCGCAUAGUCCAGGGAGACAUCUUGAAAGAGAAAACUCUGAGAUGGGAGAGGGGAAGGAGGAGGCGGGAGGGAGGGAAGGGAAGGAAAUACGGAUCAUCUUUGGAAGAUGUCUAAAAGUCCUGUCUGCUUUUGGCGAGGCUGUGGUCAGGCUUUGCUAACUAGUUUGGCGUGGCUCUGCCAUGUGCCUUGUGGUAAGGACCUGCCUCUUCCCGUGGCCACUCCGAGGGUUCUGCAACCAGGCCCCAGCAGCCCUUUGGGUGAGGACCUGUGGUCUCCCCAGAAGGUCUCCUGAGGUGCUUGUUACUCAUGCACCCAGCUUUCAUCUUUGGGGAGAGUCAGCUCGGGGACUGGUCUUUCCAGCGUGUUCUGAGAACCUGCAGGAGGACCUGGUGACUUGGGAGUCGCAAAGUGGACACACCUGACUUUGCUCUGUGACUCAGAGACAAAUGGAUGCUACAGUCCUCACGAUCCAGCCAGUAGAUGCCCCAUCUGUCCCAGAACCAAAUUGGGGUGAGAGCCAUGCAGGGUGGUGCCCAGCUUUGCGGGGAAGACAGCGUGGACCCGGCCAGACCCAGGGUGACCACUUUCUGGCUUUCCCAGAACUAAUUUUCAGCAGGACAAGUCCUACAUCCCAGAAAACCCCUCAGACUAGGUCAACAGGCUGCACGGUCAUUGUCUUGAAGCUCUCUCACUUCCCAGCCAGCAAUUAAACCUCUUUGAGCCUCAGUUUCCCCAGAUGUGAAGUGAGGAUAGAGACACCAACCUUCUGCAGGGCUUGAGAACUGGGGUUGCCGUGUGUUAUGGUUAAAACAUUGUGUCAACUUGGGGAGUCUAGAGGUUUGGCUAAGUAACUUAGCAGGAAGCCAGAAUGCUUACUUUGUA
Long non-coding RNA from Chinchilla lanigera (long-tailed chinchilla), 5283 nucleotides. RefSeq lists it as uncharacterized. Lineage: Eukaryota; Metazoa; Chordata; Mammalia; Rodentia; Chinchillidae. The record is from RefSeq and is a predicted model, not a curated record. The transcript is spliced from 4 exons.